Molecule: non-coding RNA, 231 nt
Filed under: Bacillus sp. (in: firmicutes)
Lineage: Bacteria; Bacillati; Bacillota; Bacilli; Caryophanales; Bacillaceae
Description: Bacillus sp. T-box sequence
Rfam family: T-box leader
About the family: Uncharged tRNA acts as the effector for transcription antitermination of genes in the T-box leader family. T-boxes are found upstream of many aminoacyl-tRNA synthetase genes and some amino acid biosynthetic genes usually in Gram-positive bacteria.
Source: RNAcentral
AUCAAAACGGUGAAAGGGAAAGUAGUCCUUUAUAACCUUAUUUAGCGAAUCGAGGACGGUGGAAGCUCGACAUAAGGCAAAGAAUGAAGAUCACCCUUGAGUUCCAUGCUGAACAUCUUUAGAUAAAUAAGCAAUGGCGAAUCAUUCACGUUACGAAUGUAGAGUGGAUUAAUAUCAAAAGACAUUAAUCUAAUAGGGUGGUACCGCGAGAUAAACCUUCUCGUCCCUUGU